UACGUAGGGGGCAAGCGUUGUCCGGAAUCAUUGGGCGUAAAGAGCGUGUAGGCGGCCCGGUAAGUCCGCUGUAAAAGUCAAAGGCUCAACCUUUGAAUGUCAGUGGAUACUGCCGGGCUAGAGUCCGGAAGAGGCGAGUGGAACUCCUGGUGUAGCGGUGGAAUGCGUAGAGAUGUGGAGGAACACCAGUGGCGAAGGCGACUCUUUGGCCUGUAACUGACGCUGAGGCGCGAAAGCGUGGGGAGCAAACAGG
This 253-nucleotide ribosomal RNA is filed under the name uncultured bacterium. Its description in RNAcentral is "partial 16S ribosomal RNA". It matches the Rfam family "Bacterial small subunit ribosomal RNA", at positions 524 to 776 of the family's 1533-position model. The record is from RNAcentral.